This 100-nucleotide non-coding RNA is filed under the name Clostridium sp. RNAcentral describes it as "Guanine sequence". It matches the Rfam family "Purine riboswitch aptamer". Rfam says of the family: Riboswitches are metabolite binding domains within certain messenger RNAs that serve as precision sensors for their corresponding targets. Allosteric rearrangement of mRNA structure is mediated by ligand binding, and this results in modulation of gene expression. Lineage: Bacteria; Bacillati; Bacillota; Clostridia; Eubacteriales; Clostridiaceae. RNAcentral also lists the same sequence under 1 other name. The record is from RNAcentral.
AUCAUACAUAAAAAUUGAGCCAAUAUAUGCCCGAUGCAGAUGGUUCGGGUGUCUCUACCGCACGGCCGGAUGUGCGACUAUUGGUAUUGCUUUUCGUCCC